RNAcentral lists this ribosomal RNA (430 nucleotides) under uncultured bacterium. Its description in RNAcentral is "bacterial SSU rRNA". It matches the Rfam family "Bacterial small subunit ribosomal RNA", at positions 368 to 793 of the family's 1533-position model. The record is from RNAcentral.
ACAAUGGGUGAGAGCCUGAUCCAGCCAUCCCGCGUGAAGGACGACGGCCCUAUGGGUUGUAAACUUCUUUGUACAGGGGAUAAACCUUUCCACGUGUGGAAAGCUGAAGGUACUGUACGAAUAAGCACCGGCUAACUCCGUGCCAGCAGCCGCGGUAAUACGGAGGGUGCAAGCGUUAUCCGGAUUUAUUGGGUUUAAAGGGUCCGUAGGCGGAUCUGUAAGUCAGUGGUGAAAUCUCAUAGCUUAACUAUGAAACUGCCAUUGAUACUGCAGGUCUUGAGUAAGGUAGAAGUAGCUGGAAUAAGUAGUGUAGCGGUGAAAAUGCAUAGAUAUUACUUAGAACACCAAUUGCGAAGGCAGGUUACUAUGUCUUAACUGACGCUGAUGGACGAAAGCGUGGGGAGCGAACAGGAUUAGACUACCCUGGUAG